RNAcentral lists this long non-coding RNA (2635 nucleotides) under Mytilus galloprovincialis (Mediterranean mussel). Lineage: Eukaryota; Metazoa; Mollusca; Bivalvia; Mytilida; Mytilidae. The record is from RNAcentral.
AAAAAACAUAACGUGAUUUAGGUUUCUCUUAUUAUAUGAUUUAAUUAAUUAUCUAAGUUACCAUUAUUAUGUUUAUCAAAUGUUUUUGUUAUUGUACCAUAGCAAAUUACUUUGUAUUUUUCUCUAUGUCUUUGGUUAGAUUAUGGUCAACGUACCUUUCAUCAGUUGAAAAUGCAUGUUUAAGAUAAACAUUGUACCAUGCAAAUAUUAGGCAUUUCCAGGUAAAACAACGAGCCAACGAUUAUUGUUUGAAAUUGAUAUAUCAAGAAAAAUUGCAUAUUAUUUUACAUGUAAUGGCGUUUUUUUUUUCUUUUUAAAAGACUAAAAAAUUAAAAUUACUCAAAGUUAAAUAAAUAGGAAAUUCUCAGAUAAAAUUAAACAUAUUACGACGAUUUAACAUAAAUAUCAUCAAGUUUAUCAUCAAUUAUUUGAAUAUCAAUUGUCUUACAGUUUGAAUAUUUUCAAAAUAUUUUCUUGUGUUAGUCUUUUUGCAAGUUGUCAUCAUUGAAAUGUCUAAUUAAGUUUAGAUUGUUUAGAGGAGUUACUUGACGCUUUAUAGAGAAGAUUUUGGAAAAUUAGUUCAUAACUAGGUCUUGUCCCUUGAUGUAAAUAGGUUUAUUUGUUUCUUUGAAAAUGUACAAACAGUUUUAAUUUAUGUUGUCGUUGCUCCUAAUAUUAACGCGUUAUAUUAUUUGUGUAUUUGUAUCUUGAGUGUUUUGAUUGAUCAUGCUCCACGCAUUUUCCGAUCAUUUGAAAUUGCCUUUUUAAGAUAAAAAAAAAUAUGCAAUAUUUUAUGCAAUUUAGGUAAAAAUGGGUCAUCGUUUAUGUUUUUAUUAAAUGGCAAAUCGCAUGAUUGUAUAAUAAGUUUGUGAAAAAAAGUAAAAUCACAAAAAUACUGAACUAAGAGGAAAAUCAAUUCGGAAAGUCCAUAAUCACAUGGCAAAAUCAUAUAACAAUACGCAUCAAAAACGAAUGUCAAAUUAUUGUCUUGAUAAUUAGUCUAAACAUAAGAACAACGAGAGGAUUAGAUAAAUUUUUGCCAUGUGAUAUGUAUUUUAACAGUCAUCAAUUUAAAAGCUUAAAUUUCUAUUUCCUAUAUUCUGAUUGUUUACAAACUAUUCAUUUAUACAAAUUGCCAAUAGCUAGAUUUCUCUCCAUCUUUCGACAAUGUUUUGGACGUUCAAAUGUCUUGUUUUAUCAUAAUCUUUCCAAGUGUAAAUAUAUUUUUUAAAGCUUCAUGUCGGUUUGAAGAAAACAUUUCGGUUAAAUACCUGCGAAUAUAAAUACGCUUCAUAAACUUGCAGUGAGAUGAGAGGGUUUUUUUUUGCUCCGUGUUGAAGGCCUCACUGUGACUUUUAAAUGAAGAUCAGCAAUUAAAGCGCCGUUCCGUUGCUUUUGUAUAUUCCUUUUUUGUUGCUGUGCAUGUACUUUUUUUCAUGGAAGGAUACCCCAUAUCCUUUGUGUUUUUAUUAUGUGUUAAUUUGAAAGUUAACUCUUUUGUUUUGUAUUGUGUUUGCUAUAAUUAUUUACGCUUUAAAUUCUAAUUUUGCAUAUUUUUUAUAAAAUAUUUAUUGUAUUGUAUCAUAGCUCUUAUCCUGUGAAUCUUGUGUGUUUAUCAUGGUCAAAGUAUUAGUUUUAAAUAAUUAUUUGCGAUGACAAAAACAUAAUGUAUUGGAGCACCAAAAGAAAGACAAAAUAGAGAGUUUAUCUGAAAUUAUUUUUAGCAUAUUUUACCUAAAGACUGGGCGAUCUUAUUUUUUCCAUAGAUAAAACAAAUGGACAUCUUAUUGUGAUAUCUAUAUUCUACUCGUACCACAUUAAACGGGAGUAUUUUAUGAUCAAGUGAUAAAACAACUGUUGAAAAGCAGAGUACGGUUUGACACCAAUUCUAUGCAGCACAUUGUAUUUGAGUUAUGUUUUACAUAUGCAGUACUAGUAUAUCAUUUGCUCCAAAAAUAAAUGCUGCGUUUAUGCUGAUUAACAUGCUGAUAGAACAUGUAAAAUGUAAUGAAAACGUUCUAAAAAGUCAAUAUUGAAAAGAAGCAACAUUGAUAAACUGGACCCAAAUAAUUUUUAUAACAUCUGUGCACUAAAUCUGCUGCAUGUGUAAUUAUUGAUACUUAUUCAUAUUAAUAAGACCAUAUAUUCUAUCAUCCUUUUAAAGAGAAAUGUUGAAAUUUAAACUUUUACUCUGUGAAAACUUGCUGAUUUAAUUAAAAUUACUGUUUUUGUUAAAUAGCAAAGUGACACAUUUUCAAAUAAUCUCUUGUUAACAUGUUAAAAAAAAAAUCACGAGUACAGGUCAAUAACGUUAUUUUUCGAAAUUGUAAACAUGCAUUGCAAAUUUUAACUGUUUAAAAAUACAAUAGAAUUGAUGCUGUUUUUCUUAAAAUUCAGCUUGUAUCACGUGGUAUAAUUUUAAAUUAAUAUUAUGCAUUUACCUCGACAAUUGGAUGUAAAAACAAUAAUUUUCAAGAAAAAACUUUUUACAAAAAAGUUGGUGCAAAAUUUUGAGAUUUUUAAUAAAAUAUUAGUUUCCAUGUAGGUAAUUCAGAUUCGUAAGACCAUAUACAUUUUUCUUUAAUAAUGUUACUUUUAAUGGGGUUUUUUUUCUUGCACUUAUAACUGUAACUUA